This 406-nucleotide ribosomal RNA is filed under the name uncultured bacterium. RNAcentral describes it as "partial 16S ribosomal RNA". It matches the Rfam family "Bacterial small subunit ribosomal RNA", at positions 30 to 526 of the family's 1533-position model. The record is from RNAcentral.
AUUGAACGCUGGCGGCAGGCCUAACACAUGCAAGUCGAACGAGUGGCGGACGGGUGAGUAAUGUCUGGGAAACUGCCUGAUGGAGGGGGAUAACUACUGGAAACGGUCGCUAAUACCGCAUACCAUCGGAUGUGCCCAGAUGGGAUUAGCUAGUAGGUGGGGUAAAGGCUCACCUAGGCGACGAUCCCUAGCUGGUCUGAGAGUAGGACCAGCCACACUGGAACGGAGACACGGUCCAGACUCCUACGGGAGGCAGCAGUGGGGAAUAUUGCACAAUGGGCGCAAGCCUGAUGCAGCCAUGCCGCGUGUAUGAAGCAGGCCUUCGGGUUGUAAAGGACUUUCAGCGGGGAGGCGUUACCCGCAGAAGAAGCACCGGCUAACUCCGUGCCAGCCGCCGCGGUAAUUC